This 465-nucleotide ribosomal RNA is filed under the name Vreelandella stevensii. Its description in RNAcentral is "partial 16S ribosomal RNA". It matches the Rfam family "Bacterial small subunit ribosomal RNA", at positions 338 to 795 of the family's 1533-position model. Lineage: Bacteria; Pseudomonadati; Pseudomonadota; Gammaproteobacteria; Oceanospirillales; Halomonadaceae. The record is from RNAcentral.
CCUACGGGCGGCAGCAGUGGGGAAUAUUGGACAAUGGGGGGAACCCUGAUCCAGCCAUGCCGCGUGUGUGAAGAAGGCCCUCGGGUUGUAAAGCACUUUCAGUGAGGAAGAACGCCUGGUGGUUAAUACCCAUCAGGAAAGACAUCACUCACAGAAGAAGCACCGGCUAACUCCGUGCCAGCAGCCGCGGUAAUACGGAGGGUGCGAGCGUUAAUCGGAAUUACUGGGCGUAAAGCGCGCGUAGGUGGCUUGAUAAGCCGGUUGUGAAAGCCCCGGGCUCAACCUGGGAACGGCAUCCGGAACUGUCAAGCUAGAGUGCAGGAGAGGAAGGUAGAAUUCCCGGUGUAGCGGUGAAAUGCGUAGAGAUCGGGAGGAAUACCAGUGGCGAAGGCGGCCUUCUGGACUGACACUGACACUGAGGUGCCAAAGCGUGGGUAGCAAACAGGAUUAGAUACCCGUGUAGUC